GUGAAUCAUCAAAUUUUUGAACGCAAAUUGCGCCAUUUGGGGUAGGCAUGUCUGUUUGAGGUCACGUUUUAACAAAUAAUUUGCAGCGUUUUUUGUUGCACACGUUGAUGAGCUUUCCAAGAAUUUUAAAUUUUUGGUGGCGCAUAGUGAACAGCGUGAAAGUUUUUUUCGGUUCGAGUGUAGGAAUAUCUUUGCUUGGGUUGUGAAAAAAAAUAAUCGCGCAAUGGGUGUGGAAAUUUCUUUUUAUCCCUGCCCAAAUGCCACUGUUUAUCACUAAA
RNAcentral lists this unclassified non-coding RNA (278 nucleotides) under Paraglomerales sp. RNAcentral describes it as "partial internal transcribed spacer 2". The record is from RNAcentral. Lineage: Eukaryota; Fungi; Glomeromycota; Glomeromycetes; Paraglomerales.